ACAAUGGGCGCAAGCCUGAUCCUGUUUACCGCUCGGGUGAAGAAGGCCUUCGGGUUGUAAAGCCCUUUUGUUGGGAAAGAAAUCCAGUUGGCUAAUACCCGGUUGGGAUGACGGUACCCAAAGAAUAAGCACCGGCUAACUUCGUGCCAGCAGCCGCGGUAA
Molecule: ribosomal RNA, 162 nt
Filed under: Pseudomonas sp. enrichment culture DGGE band BES-CAP-10
Lineage: Bacteria; Pseudomonadati; Pseudomonadota; Gammaproteobacteria; Pseudomonadales; Pseudomonadaceae
Description: partial 16S ribosomal RNA
Rfam family: Bacterial small subunit ribosomal RNA
Source: RNAcentral